Molecule: long non-coding RNA, 575 nt
Filed under: Monodelphis domestica (gray short-tailed opossum)
Lineage: Eukaryota; Metazoa; Chordata; Mammalia; Didelphimorphia; Didelphidae
Description: lncRNA (ENSMODG00000047065.1)
Source: RNAcentral
UGAGAAGCAAAAUGGAGUAAAAAAGAGCAAGAAGGCUUCAGUUGGUUUUGUUUGUUUGUUUGUUUUCCCAGAUUUUCUUCAGACUUCAAGCAGUUCAGGGUGCUUCUGACUUCUAGCUUCAAAAAGGAAGAUAGAAGAGGACAACCUCAUUUCAGAUUUCUAAAGAAUAAGAUUUGGGGAAGACAUGAGAAGAGACAAUAUGAGAAGAGACAUCAUGUCCCUAUCCUUAACUACAUUAGAGAUCACAAGAAGUUUCCUUUGGGGUCAAGUAAUGCAAAUUUCUGGAGGGAAUGUCUUUGCUGAUUCAUCUACUAUUUUUCAAGGUAUUGAGUUUUGUGUUAUUCCAAGAUCCUGGGACACUCAGUUCAAUCUCAGCUUACUUUAUUAUUUUUAUUACCAGAUUACAUGUUGAUACAAUUUUUAAUUUUCAUUUUCUGAUAUUUGAUGUUCCAUAUUGUCUCUAUUCCAUCUCUCCAUCCUCUACAAAAGUCAGGUAAUAUAAUUUUACAUAUAUUAUCAUACUAUACAUAUUUCUGUGGUCUUAAUAUUAUAAAAUAAACCAAAAAUUGCUCACA